UUCCGACACAUCUACUGAACUUCAAGCAUCAUCAGCUGAUGGUGCAGCCUCAAAAGAUGAGAAGAGCAAGGUUCCUGUGCCUGUACCAAAGGAGCUGUCGUUUCUACUGAAGGAGACCACAGAUCAAACACAAGGGCCUGAGUCAAAUCCAGGGCCCAGCACAAGUGUUGCUUGCACAUCUGUGCGCAAAGUUCUCACUUUUGAAGACAGCAAUGAAGAUGGAGUGGAAAAGGCAGGAUACCACUGGGUGGACAGGGAUUGCUGUGCACCGUUUAAGAUCCCGGACUGCAUCCCUGGUGAAAAUCUAGACUGGGAUGCCUGGAAAACCACUCCUGCUAUUAUUGCUGCAGCCACAUCUGGACCACUGGCAAACUCUUGUGCCUCUCGAACAAAUUAUAAUCCAAACAUUGUUGUUAAACUGGACUUGUUCCACUGCCUGAGGCGAUUUUCACGAGAAUGCACCUCUGAGCAUCACCCUCUGAAUCUUGUUAUUCCUAAAACACUUCACAUAAUGAAUACAGUCCAUGCUUUUUGUA
Molecule: long non-coding RNA, 536 nt
Organism: Archocentrus centrarchus (flier cichlid)
Lineage: Eukaryota; Metazoa; Chordata; Actinopteri; Cichliformes; Cichlidae
Exons: 4
Source: RefSeq, a predicted model, not a curated record